RNAcentral lists this ribosomal RNA (2815 nucleotides) under Staphylococcus aureus. RNAcentral describes it as "bacterial LSU rRNA". It matches the Rfam family "Bacterial large subunit ribosomal RNA". Lineage: Bacteria; Bacillati; Bacillota; Bacilli; Caryophanales; Staphylococcaceae. The record is from RNAcentral.
AGGGCGCACGGUGGAUGCCUUGGCACUAGAAGCCGAUGAAGGACGUUACUAACGACGAUAUGCUUUGGGGAGCUGUAAGUAAGCUUUGAUCCAGAGAUUUCCGAAUGGGGAAACCCAGCAUGAGUUAUGUCAUGUUAUCGAUAUGUGAAUACAUAGCAUAUCAGAAGGCACACCCGGAGAACUGAAACAUCUUAGUACCCGGAGGAAGAGAAAGAAAAUUCGAUUCCCUUAGUAGCGGCGAGCGAAACGGGAAGAGCCCAAACCAACAAGCUUGCUUGUUGGGGUUGUAGGACACUCUAUACGGAGUUACAAAGGACGACAUUAGACGAAUCAUCUGGAAAGAUGAAUCAAAGAAGGUAAUAAUCCUGUAGUCGAAAAUGUUGUCUCUCUUGAGUGGAUCCUGAGUACGACGGAGCACGUGAAAUUCCGUCGGAAUCUGGGAGGACCAUCUCCUAAGGCUAAAUACUCUCUAGUGACCGAUAGUGAACCAGUACCGUGAGGGAAAGGUGAAAAGCACCCCGGAAGGGGAGUGAAAUAGAACCUGAAACCGUGUGCUUACAAGUAGUCAGAGCCCGUUAAUGGGUGAUGGCGUGCCUUUUGUAGAAUGAACCGGCGAGUUACGAUUUGAUGCAAGGUUAAGCAGUAAAUGUGGAGCCGUAGCGAAAGCGAGUCUGAAUAGGGCGUUUAGUAUUUGGUCGUAGACCCGAAACCAGGUGAUCUACCCUUGGUCAGGUUGAAGUUCAGGUAACACUGAAUGGAGGACCGAACCGACUUACGUUGAAAAGUGAGCGGAUGAACUGAGGGUAGCGGAGAAAUUCCAAUCGAACCUGGAGAUAGCUGGUUCUCUCCGAAAUAGCUUUAGGGCUAGCCUCAAGUGAUGAUUAUUGGAGGUAGAGCACUGUUUGGACGAGGGGCCCCUCUCGGGUUACCGAAUUCAGACAAACUCCGAAUGCCAAUUAAUUUAACUUGGGAGUCAGAACAUGGGUGAUAAGGUCCGUGUUCGAAAGGGAAACAGCCCAGACCACCAGCUAAGGUCCCAAAAUAUAUGUUAAGUGGAAAAGGAUGUGGCGUUGCCCAGACAACUAGGAUGUUGGCUUAGAAGCAGCCAUCAUUUAAAGAGUGCGUAAUAGCUCACUAGUCGAGUGACACUGCGCCGAAAAUGUACCGGGGCUAAACAUAUUACCGAAGCUGUGGAUUGUCCUUUGGACAAUGGUAGGAGAGCGUUCUAAGGGCGUUGAAGCAUGAUCGUAAGGACAUGUGGAGCGCUUAGAAGUGAGAAUGCCGGUGUGAGUAGCGAAAGACGGGUGAGAAUCCCGUCCACCGAUUGACUAAGGUUUCCAGAGGAAGGCUCGUCCGCUCUGGGUUAGUCGGGUCCUAAGCUGAGGCCGACAGGCGUAGGCGAUGGAUAACAGGUUGAUAUUCCUGUACCACCUAUAAUCGUUUUAAUCGAUGGGGGGACGCAGUAGGAUAGGCGAAGCGUGCGAUUGGAUUGCACGUCUAAGCAGUAAGGCUGAGUAUUAGGCAAAUCCGGUACUCGUUAAGGCUGAGCUGUGAUGGGGAGAAGACAUUGUGUCUUCGAGUCGUUGAUUUCACACUGCCGAGAAAAGCCUCUAGAUAGAAAAUAGGUGCCCGUACCGCAAACCGACACAGGUAGUCAAGAUGAGAAUUCUAAGGUGAGCGAGCGAACUCUCGUUAAGGAACUCGGCAAAAUGACCCCGUAACUUCGGGAGAAGGGGUGCUCUUUAGGGUUAACGCCCAGAAGAGCCGCAGUGAAUAGGCCCAAGCGACUGUUUAUCAAAAACACAGGUCUCUGCUAAACCGUAAGGUGAUGUAUAGGGGCUGACGCCUGCCCGGUGCUGGAAGGUUAAGAGGAGUGGUUAGCUUCUGCGAAGCUACGAAUCGAAGCCCCAGUAAACGGCGGCCGUAACUAUAACGGUCCUAAGGUAGCGAAAUUCCUUGUCGGGUAAGUUCCGACCCGCACGAAAGGCGUAACGAUUUGGGCACUGUCUCAACGAGAGACUCGGUGAAAUCAUAGUACCUGUGAAGAUGCAGGUUACCCGCGACAGGACGGAAAGACCCCGUGGAGCUUUACUGUAGCCUGAUAUUGAAAUUCGGCACAGCUUGUACAGGAUAGGUAGGAGCCUUUGAAACGUGAGCGCUAGCUUACGUGGAGGCGCUGGUGGGAUACUACCCUAGCUGUGUUGGAUUUCUAACCCGCACCACUUAUCGUGGUGGGAGACAGUGUCAGGCGGGCAGUUUGACUGGGGCGGUCGCCUCCUAAAAGGUAACGGAGGCGCUCAAAGGUUCCCUCAGAAUGGUUGGAAAUCAUUCAUAGAGUGUAAAGGCAUAAGGGAGCUUGACUGCGAGACCUACAAGUCGAGCAGGGUCGAAAGACGGACUUAGUGAUCCGGUGGUUCCGCAUGGAAGGGCCAUCGCUCAACGGAUAAAAGCUACCCCGGGGAUAACAGGCUUAUCUCCCCCAAGAGUUCACAUCGACGGGGAGGUUUGGCACCUCGAUGUCGGCUCAUCGCAUCCUGGGGCUGUAGUCGGUCCCAAGGGUUGGGCUGUUCGCCCAUUAAAGCGGUACGCGAGCUGGGUUCAGAACGUCGUGAGACAGUUCGGUCCCUAUCCGUCGUGGGCGUAGGAAAUUUGAGAGGAGCUGUCCUUAGUACGAGAGGACCGGGAUGGACAUACCUCUGGUGUACCAGUUGUCGUGCCAACGGCAUAGCUGGGUAGCUAUGUGUGGACGGGAUAAGUGCUGAAAGCAUCUAAGCAUGAAGCCCCCCUCAAGAUGAGAUUUCCCAACUUCGGUUAU